This 2300-nucleotide long non-coding RNA is filed under the name Monodelphis domestica (gray short-tailed opossum). Its description in RNAcentral is "lncRNA (ENSMODG00000042121.1)". The record is from RNAcentral. Lineage: Eukaryota; Metazoa; Chordata; Mammalia; Didelphimorphia; Didelphidae.
CCUCACUUCACUAAAUCUCUUCGAACAAAUCUAUCCAGGUAUUUCUGAGGCUGUCUCUUGCUUUGUUUCUUACAUCACAUUGGCCUUCUAUUACAUUCCUGUACCAUAAUUUGUUGGGCUAUUCCACAAUGGAUGGACACUCCCUUAGUUCCCAUUCCUCUCUCUUUGAUCUCCUGGGUAUAGAGGCCUAGCAGUGGUAUUACUAGGUCAAAGGAUGUGGACACUUUAGUAACUUUUUGGGCUUGCCUCCAAACUUUUCUAGAAUGGUCAGACUGAUUCCCAGCUCCACCCCUAAUACAUUAAUGUGCCUCUUUUCCUGCAGUUAUUCUAACAUGCCAUUUUCCUGUUUUGUCAUCUUUGCCAGACUGAUGGGCAUAAAUGAUCCAUUAUUCAGAGGGACAUAUGAGAAAGAAUGCUAUCCACAUCCAGAGGAAGAACUGUGGGAAAAGAAACACAGAAGAAAAACAACUGCUUGAUCACAGUGGAUUUUAAAGCAAAAGAUGAAGAAGAGAAAAUUUGACAUGAGAAGUGAAAAGUCAACUAAGAAGAAUGGUAUCAGAGAAUGGGAAAUAGAUUUCUGGCCCAUGACUCAAAGUGCAGUAAUAACAGAUUCCUAGCCUGGGAGGGAGGACAAUCAACAUAUUCUGGUAAGAUAGUAUUUGCCUGGUCUAAAGGAAAGGGCUUUAUAGUAAAAGAGACAGGGAAAAGAGGGGGGGAAAUGUACACAUGCUUACUACACAAGACAUAAUACCUAUACAGGCACAUAAUAUGCUCAUAUACAUGUAUGAACAUGUGUGUAUGGGCAGAUAUCCAUGUUUGUAUACAUAUACACAUAUGUGUAUGUAUAUACAUACGUAGCCACUAAGAAAGGUGCCAUAGUACAGUUGAGACACACAGAAAUUCUUAGGAAACAAAAUUUAAGUGUAAGAAAGUUGGUUUUUCCAUAGAACUCAUCUCAGAAAAGGAUCUGGAGAUUGAUAGUAGAUAGAUCAAUGGAUAGGUAGAUAGAUAGAUGAGAUACAAGAAUGGAUAGAUGCAUGACAGUUAGAUAAAAGGUCAGGUAGAUGGAGCAGUAGAGUGUGGGUCCUAGAGCCAGGGAAACCUGAGUUCAAAUUUGGUUUCAGAAACUUACUAGCAAUAUGAUCCUGGGCAAGUCACUUAACCCUAUUUACCUCAGUUUCCACAUAUAUAAAAUGAGCUGGAGAAAGAAGUGGCAAGCCAUUCAGUAUCUUUAUCAAGAAAACCCAAAAUGGAGUCAUGAAGAAUUGGACAUAACUGAAAAAUGGCUGAACAACAUUAGAUGGUAGUUAGACAGACAGAUAGAUAGAUAGAUAGAUAGAUAGAUAGAUAGAUAGAUAGAUAAAUAGAUAGAUAGAUAGAUAGAUAGAAAGACAGAUUGAUAGAUAGACAGACAGACAGACAGACAGACAGACAGACAGACAGACAGAUAGAUAGAUAGAUAGAUAGAUAGAUAGAUAGAUAGAUAGAUAGAUAGAUAGAUGGAUGGAUAAGUGGAUAGAAAGACAGAUAGAUGGAUAGAUAGACAGAUAGACAGAUAGAUAGAGAGAUAGAUAGAGAUAGGAAGGAAGAUAGGUAGAUAGAUAGAUAGAUAGAUAGAUAGACAGAUAGAUAUAGAGAAUUUAUCAAGUGAUUAAUUUGUGGCAGACACUGUAAGCACUGAGGAUACAAAUAUAAGAAAGUCUACCCUCAAAGAACUUACAUUCUAAUAGGGGAAAAUAACAUAUCAAUGGGGGAUGGACAGGGUGGGAGUUCACACAUGGCAGCAAGCUAAGUGAAAACCAGGAAGCAGUAUGGAGGGCCUGAGCCACCUUGUUUUUUCAAGCCAGAACUCCUUUUAUGAGAUGCAAAUUAGCCACUUGUGUGAAUCUGAAAGGAAGCAACUUGAUAGAACAAAAAAUGAUAGGGGAAAUGCAAAAUAGGUUGACUUGAAGAGGAAUUCACUUUGGGAAGCAUCUAUAGAAAAUACAUGGAGCUCAAGAAUGGGAAGCUCUAAACAAGCCAUAUAGAGGUGAGAGAGAAGAAGAGGCAGGGGCAACUGCUCCAAAAUGUGUAAUUAGAAUUUGCUUCCCAGGACUCUAAAUCCUAGCAUCCCACUUUUGUUCUCACAUUACAUCACAUUUUGGAGGUAAAGUUUUUGUGUGACCCAGCCUCUCUCUCUCUUUUCCUGCAAAGGAGGCUGGAAAGCUUUCUUUACUCAGGCUUUUACUUUUGUCCUUUUAGUUAUUUUACUUCAAGGGAUUAUUAAUAAAUCUUAUAAAAUACAUUACUUAGAGUUAUUG